AACUUUUAACAAUGGAUCACUUGGCUCUCGCAUCGAUGAAGAACGCAGCGAAAUGCGAUACGUAAUGUGAAUUGCAGAAUGCAGUGAAUCAUCGAAUCUUUGAACGCACCUUGCGCCCUUUGGUAUUCCGAGGGGCACACCCGUUUGAGUGACGUGACAUUCUCAAAACCUUCUCGGUUUCUCGACCGGGAAGGCUUUGGACUUUGGUGGCUUUUGCUGGCAUUCCUUUGUUGGAGCCUGCUCCUCUGAAAUGAAUUAGUUGGGUCUCCUUUGCCGAUCCUUGUCGUGAUAAGAUGUUUUCUACGUUUGGGGAAUUAGCACUCCUGCUUCUAACCGUCUCACAGUAGACAAAUGGUCCACUCGUCACACAAACCUUGACCUCAAAUCGGGUGAGACUACCCGAUGAACUUAAGCAUUUCAAGAAGCGGAGGCG
This 433-nucleotide unclassified non-coding RNA is filed under the name uncultured Russula. Its description in RNAcentral is "sequence contains ITS2". The stretch from base 1 to 154 matches the Rfam family "5.8S ribosomal RNA". Lineage: Eukaryota; Fungi; Basidiomycota; Agaricomycetes; Russulales; Russulaceae. The record is from RNAcentral.